GGAGACAUGGCAGAGUGGUUGAUUGCGCCGGACUGCUAAUCCGGGGGCCCCCGGGGGCCGCGGAGGUUCGAAUCCUCCUGUCUCCG
This 86-nucleotide transfer RNA is filed under the name Microbulbifer sp. ZGT114. It matches the Rfam family "tRNA". Rfam says of the family: Transfer RNA (tRNA) molecules are approximately 80 nucleotides in length. Their secondary structure includes four short double-helical elements and three loops (D, anti-codon, and T loops). The record is from Rfam by way of RNAcentral. Lineage: Bacteria; Pseudomonadati; Pseudomonadota; Gammaproteobacteria; Cellvibrionales; Microbulbiferaceae.